This 463-nucleotide long non-coding RNA is filed under the name Stegodyphus dumicola. RNAcentral's name for it is "uncharacterized LOC118204733". Lineage: Eukaryota; Metazoa; Arthropoda; Arachnida; Araneae; Eresidae. The record is from RNAcentral.
UGCUUCAAUUCAGUCUCAGAACAUUUACGGAUUUAUUUCAUUACAUUCACAGAAAAUGGCAUUUAGCGUUGUACAUUUGCUAAUGACCGAUGAAGUGGCUGUCGUCCAAGCAAAUGAGUGUCAGAUGAUAAAAAGGGACAUGUAACUGGCCUUCGUAUAAAGAAAGAAGUCACAUGAAAAGAGCAAUUCUGGAACACAGAGAACCAGAUACAUCCUGAGAGAAUUUUUAUAUUGUUAUCCUGGGAGAAUAUUGUGCUUUCAAAGAAAAUCGGGCCACCAGAGAGGUACCUUGCAAUAUUAUUGAAAAUAUUAUAAAAGACUGGUUGAAAAGUGUUUCAUUUAGAGAAAAGUAUCAUAAACAAAAAGGAAAAUGUACAACAGAAGGAAGUUUGUAAACAAUGGAAUAAAAAAUUUGUGUAUUAGCUUGUACGAAAAUACUGUAAUUAAAGUUAUUAAUUGUUCA